AUGUAAUUAAAAUACAGUCACAAUUUGACGUAUUGACGGAUCAGCCUAGGUUGACUAUAGACUUUUUUUCAUAUAUAUAUGUGUGUGUGUGUGUGAAAUUAAACACGGCAACAAUGACUACGCUAUGUAAUUAAAAUACAGUCACAAUUUGACGUAUUGACGGAUCAGCCUAGGUUGACUAUGGACUUUUUUUCAUAUAUAUAUAUAUAUGUGUGUGUGUGUGUGUGUGUGUGUGUUUUGUGUGUGUGUGUGUGUGUGUGUGUGAAAUUAAACAGUCUAGGAUGGGUUGGAAGAUUAUAGACCUCCAUCCAACUUUGAAACAACGGUCAUGAUUUUGUUGCAGAAUAUAACAAUACUCGUUACAUUAAUCAACUUCAAAUAACAAAACUAUCACCUAUAUAUAAUGAUAGAUGUAUAUUCUGUGCGUGUAUAAAUAUGCAAGUGUGUGUGUAUAUUUCUGAUCCGGUAUUGAUUCUUUUGCGGCCAGCAGAGGUGGAGACGCCGACAUUUGGCAGUUCAUGAAAGCCAAAAGCUUCAACGCAUAUGGGGCCGAAUAGAAAGUAACCAUGGAACGACGGCUGCCUACAGAUUUGGCUCUCUAUGAUACGAUUAGGGUUUCAGGGUUUCCUCCUUUAAUACCGGCAUUUGUCUAAGUGCAUUAAAAAGAUUUAUGCAAAUAUGGUACAUAAGUUUUGAGAAGAUUUUGUACACAUAUGUAUGGUAAGUUCUUAAAUUUAAAGAUAAAUACAGUUUUUUUUUUAUAAAAAAAAACAGAAUAAAAUUUUUAGUUUCUUCCAUAAGUGCUAUUUCACUUAAAAUUCCAGUACCCAAAAUACAUUUGUUGUGUCAUCACAUAAUUUCUAACAAAAAUGUUGAACUUACAUUUGUUUCUAUCACACUUCUUCACUCCAAACAGGAUACUUAUUGCUCGUUCAGCUGGGUGGUUCAGUGUGAUAUAGUGACAUACAGCUCUUUUAGAUUAAGAGUUUCUCUGGACAAAAUUUCUUUUAAUAUGAAAGUUAAAGUAGUUUAUGGUUACACAAUCAUUCUACCAUCAAGUACUUUCUAACACAAUUUUUAACUUAAAUUUAUUUUUUACAAACUUCAUCACUCCAAACAAAUUUAUAUAUAAUUAAAAACAUAAACAUAGUUUCACAAAUUUUGGUUCAACUUUUUUCAAUUUUACCGUAUAUUCAUUUAUAUUAGUGUAAGUAUUUUACGCACACUUCAUAUGAUCCAAAUUUGUACAGUAUUGUAGGAAAAAUGAAGGUGCCUUAUUUUUAAAUCAAAACCAAUUAGAAAAUUUCAUAUAUCCAACAUGAAAAAUAACUUAUAAAUGAACUUUUAUUUUUUGUUCUACCACACUAAGAAAUCAGGUCAAAGCCAACGGACUUCACGCCGUCGCUAAUGCCCUCACUGGUGAGGACAACGCCGUCGCUAAUGACUGUCGUCGGCAUUGACUUCCUUCUACUCAUAUACGCCAUGUUUCUCAUUUCGAACAUGUUUUGCUGUCGAGAUCAAGUCAUUAUCUGGGUUUAAUCUCAACGGCAGUGCCGUCGAGAAUGCAUCUUUAUUUAAUCAGACUGUUUAACUUUUUAGAUUAUGUGUUUUUUUUCCCUUUUGCGAGUUUUUACUCUCUCUUUCUCGCACCGUCGUCGUGAGCUCUUGCCGUCGCAUGUCUACUUAAUCUUGCCAUCGCCAAGCUCAUGUGUCCUAGUUGACGUAAGUUUUCCCAAUUCAAUUAGCUCCUGGGCUAGGGUGGGCUUUAGCCCGGGUGAAGUUUAUGAAAAAUAUUUAGUACUUAUAUAUCUUCAAUAGCUCAGCCUAAUAUUGUUUUCCUGUUUUUCUGCGAUCCAUUAACAACAGUGAGGAGAGAGGUUCAAAGGAAGAAUUGUUUGAAUCUAGAUAAGAGGGAACGAAAUGAAAUUCUAGAAUAUCAUGAUCCAAAGAGUUGAAAUUGAAUAUAUAUUCAAUAUUGUUUGAAUCUGAAGCUUGCCUCUACCUCUCCUCUCUCUCUGGCUCUCAUCCAUCCUCACUCUCUUUCUGAUUUCCCCAAAUUACAAGGUUAGGGUUUGGUUUUUACCCUCAAAGUUUUUUUGUUUUUGUUUUAUAUGGCUGCUUGAUCUCUAGUUCCUUGUGUGGCUGCCCUGAUUUGUUCAAAUUCCAACUGCUUGUGCGGUUAGCCUCUUCUUUGCGGGUAAUUGUAAGUACAUACACUGACUAAUUAAUUGAACACUAAUUUUUGGUUAGGCAUAUAUUUAUUUGAGAAAUUUGUGCUGAUUUUUUUGGAAGUAAUAAUUUAGGCAUGUAUAAUUUUUAGGUUUUGAAUAUGUAAACCAUGUACUCAUUUAAAAGAAAUUUUGAAACACACAACAGAUUUACUUCUCGUCGUUCUCGAAACAUGAAUACAGAUACUUUUCUAUGUUGUGUAAUGUUGAACUGGACUAAUUUACUUGGUUAAAAAUUUUCUAAGUUUUGAAAUCUAAUGAUACUAUUAGCACUCAGUAUGUUAUAAAAUUUUGAUAAUGUUAUUAUCGUAAGAUGCACAUGUUUUUAUUAUUUCAUUAGGAGUUUAGCUGUAAGAUUUUUCACUCAUAAUAUACUACUAUGUAUUAACUGAUAUAAUGUACAUAUAUCCGUUGCACAGCCCCAAAUUUCAAUGUCGAUCUUACAACUGAGAUAGCGGUGGUAUAACCUGUAUUUGAGGCUAAAGUCGUAUCGAACUUGGUAGCAUAGGACAAAAAAAAUCGCCUUGACAAUAUCGGCACAAAGAAAAAUCAAAACGCCAACAAGACUUCUUUUCUAUGCACACUGGUUUUAUCCCCUUAAGAUUUCUUUUUUUCAUUCUUCAUUUCUUGGUCAAUUGGUCAACCAUUGACUUUUUGACUUUCUUAUUCUUUUCUUUUGAAUUAUAUAACCAACACAUAAUUUAAAUAUGGUAGGGUAUAAAAUUAAUUUCCAUUAACAUUUCUCUUUACAAAAUAUUUACAUUACAAUUACAAUUGUGUUUAGAAUUUCGGAAUAUUACAAUUGUCACCUCCCAAAUGUUAGGUUACACUUCAUGUGUCAAUCCGCCGUGCUAAAGACAUUGAUAGGACAACAACCGAUCCUGCCGGUGACAAAAGAAUUUACAGCAUAUACAUAAAAGUAGUUGAAGGAUUGCCAAACCCGAGGCGGAACGCAAAAUAUUAUAUUUUUUUUAUAUGUAUUCAAAUAACAUUCAAA
Molecule: long non-coding RNA, 3225 nt
Filed under: Panax ginseng (ginseng)
Lineage: Eukaryota; Viridiplantae; Streptophyta; Magnoliopsida; Apiales; Araliaceae
Description: long non-coding RNA (PGIN_LNC015068)
Source: RNAcentral